RNAcentral lists this ribosomal RNA (337 nucleotides) under uncultured bacterium. Its description in RNAcentral is "bacterial SSU rRNA". It matches the Rfam family "Bacterial small subunit ribosomal RNA", at positions 568 to 898 of the family's 1533-position model. The record is from RNAcentral.
CGUGUAGGCGGUCAGGUAAGCGGAAUGUGAAAUGCCCCGGCUCACCCGGGACCCGUGCAUCCCAAACCUAGCCUGGCUUGAGUAUGGGAGGAGGAUGGAGGAAUUCCUGGUGUAGCGGUGAAAUGCGUAGAUAUCAGGAGGAACACCGGUGGCGAAGGCGUCCAUCUGGCCCAAUACUGACGCUGAUGCGCGAAAGCUAGGGGAGCAAACGGGAUUAGAUACCCCGGUAGUCCUAGCCGUAAACGGUGAUCACUAGGUGUUGGGGGCGAUCGACCCCUCCAGUGCCGCAGCUAACGCAUUAAGUGAUCCGCCUGGGGAGUACGGCCGCAAGGUUGAA